RNAcentral lists this ribosomal RNA (264 nucleotides) under uncultured bacterium. Its description in RNAcentral is "partial 16S ribosomal RNA". It matches the Rfam family "Bacterial small subunit ribosomal RNA", at positions 57 to 305 of the family's 1533-position model. The record is from RNAcentral.
GCAAGUUGAACGCGAAAGUUUUCUUCGGAAAGCGAGGAGAGUAGCAGACGGGUGAGUAAAGAAUAGGUAAUCUACCCUUGAGGGGGGGACAACUGACCGAAAGGUCAGCUAAUCGCGCAUGACAUUAAUUUAUAUAAGUAAGUUAAUUAAAGGGGGGGCUCCUUCGGGACCUCUCGCUUGGGGAUGAGCUUAUGUCCUAUUAGCUAGUUGGUGGGGUAAUGGCCUACCAAGGCAAUGAUGGGUAGCCGGGCUGAGAGGCUGAUC